Molecule: ribosomal RNA, 84 nt
Filed under: Chimaeribacter arupi
Lineage: Bacteria; Pseudomonadati; Pseudomonadota; Gammaproteobacteria; Enterobacterales; Yersiniaceae
Description: Yersiniaceae bacterium 2016Iso3 partial 16S ribosomal RNA
Rfam family: Bacterial small subunit ribosomal RNA
Source: RNAcentral
UGGCUGUCGUCAGCUCGUGUUGUGAAAUGUUGGGUUAAGUCCCGCAACGAGCGCAACCCUUAUCCUUUGUUGCCAGCCGAUUAU